This 494-nucleotide ribosomal RNA is filed under the name uncultured bacterium. Its description in RNAcentral is "partial 16S ribosomal RNA". It matches the Rfam family "Bacterial small subunit ribosomal RNA", at positions 28 to 507 of the family's 1533-position model. The record is from RNAcentral.
GACGAACGCUGGCGGCGUGCUUAACACAUGCAAGUCGAACGGAAAGGCCUGCUUUCCCUUGUGGAUUGCGGGUACUCGAGUGGCGAACGGGUGAGUAACACGUGAGUGAUCUGCCCCCAACUUGGGUAUAAGCCUGGGAAACUGGGUCUAAUUCCCGAUAGGACUGCAGGGUGGUGCCUGUGGUGGAAAACGAUUUUCUAGUGGUUGGGGAUGAGCUCGCGGCCUAUCAGCUUGUUGGUGGGGUAAUGGCCUACCAAGGCGGCGACGGGUAGCCGGCCUGAGAGCGUGGACGGUCACAUUGGGACUGGGAUCCGGCCCAGACUGCUACGGGAGGCAGCAGUGGGGAAUAAUGCACCAUGGGCGGAAGCCUGAUGCAGCGACGCAGCGUGGGGGAUGACGGCAUUCUGGUUGUAAACUCCUUUCGACCGCGAGGAAGCCACCUGGUUGGAAGGGUGGUGACGGUAGUGGUAGAAGAAGCACCGGCUAACUACGUG